AUUGAACGCUGGCGGCAUGCCUUACACAUGCAAGUCGAACGGCAGCACGGGUGCUUGCACCUGGUGGCGAGUGGCGAACGGGUGAGUAAUACAUCGGAACAUGUCCUGUAGUGGGGGAUAGCCCGGCGAAAGCCGGAUUAAUACCGCAUACGAUCUACGGAGGAAAGCGGGGGACCUUCGGGCCUCGCGCUAUAGGGUUGGUCGAUGGCUGAUUAGCUAGUUGGUGGGGUAAAGGCCUACCAAGGCGACGAUCAGUAGCUGGUCUGAGAGGACGACCAGCCACACUGGGACUGAGACACGGCCCAGACUCCUACGGGAGGCAGCAGUGGGGAAUUUUGGACAAUGGGCGAAAGCCUGAUCCAGCAAUGCCGCGUGUGUGAAGAAGGCCUUCGGGUUGUAAAGCACUUUUGUCCGGAAAGAAAUCCUUGGCCCUAAUACGGUCGGGGGAUGACGGUACCGGAAGAAUAAGCACCGGCUAACUACGUG
Molecule: ribosomal RNA, 486 nt
Filed under: uncultured bacterium
Lineage: Bacteria
Description: partial 16S ribosomal RNA
Rfam family: Bacterial small subunit ribosomal RNA
Source: RNAcentral